This 75-nucleotide transfer RNA is filed under the name Mollicutes bacterium. Its description in RNAcentral is "tRNA-Met". It matches the Rfam family "tRNA". From Rfam's summary of the family: Transfer RNA (tRNA) molecules are approximately 80 nucleotides in length. Their secondary structure includes four short double-helical elements and three loops (D, anti-codon, and T loops). The record is from RNAcentral. Lineage: Bacteria; Bacillati; Mycoplasmatota; Mollicutes.
CGCAGAUGGGCGGUGAGGUAUCGCAGUAGGCUCAUAACCUACUUUAAAUAAGUUCGAUUCUUAUAUCUGCAACCA